Molecule: non-coding RNA, 358 nt
Organism: Callorhinus ursinus (northern fur seal)
Lineage: Eukaryota; Metazoa; Chordata; Mammalia; Carnivora; Otariidae
Source: RefSeq, a predicted model, not a curated record
CAGACUCCCGCUGCUUCCUGGUCAUGCCUGAAUGUAUGCAGGCUGCCUUCAGGCACGGGGGCAGGCCAGAUACCUGCAGGCUCUCUAGGGAGAACGAGCCCAGACUGUGGAGCCUAGGACUAAGGAUUCAGAGCCACCCAGAGCCUUGGCUCAGAAGCGCCAGGAGCAGACAGGCCCUACUGGGGAUGUCCCCCCUCCCCAGUGCCGCUCCUCCUAGGAGUUGACCCACGUCUGGCCACCUGCCACGUCCCUGCUGUCCUUGGGCCACUAUGAGGCCUGGGGUUGUGGACAUAGCCAACGAGGGAGCUGACAGCUGGCAGUGCCUGUCCUCUGGACUGCUUUCUUCAAGGUGAGCUGG